CCUACGGGAGGCAGCAGUGAGGAAUAUUGGUCAAUGGACGAGAGUCUGAACCAGCCAAGUAGCGUGAAGGAUGACUGCCCUAUGGGUUGUAAACUUCGUUUAUAAAGGAAUAAAACGAGGCACGUGUGCCUUUUUGCAUUUACUUUAUGAGUAAGGAUCGGCUAACUCCGUGCCAGCAGCCGCGGUAAUACGGAGGAUCCGAGCGUUAUCCGGAUUUAUUGGGUUUAAAGGGAGCGUAGAUGGGUUGUUAAGUCAGUGGUGAAAGUUUGCGGCUCAACCGUAAAAUUGCAAUUGAUACUGGCAGUCUUGAGUACAGUUGAGGUAAGCGGAAUUCGUGGUGUAGCAGUGAAAUGCUUAGAUAUCACGAAGAACCCCGAUUGCGAAGGCAGCUUACUAAACUGUGACUGACAUUGAUGCUCGAAAGUGUGGGUAUCAAACAGGAUUAGAUACCCGGGUAGUC
Molecule: ribosomal RNA, 460 nt
Filed under: uncultured bacterium
Lineage: Bacteria
Description: partial 16S ribosomal RNA
Rfam family: Bacterial small subunit ribosomal RNA
Source: RNAcentral